AGCAUCCAUGCAGAAUAAUGAGGGAGGUAGAAUCUAGGCAGAGGUGUAAAAAUUGCCCUGCCUAAAUAAUACCCCCCUGUAUUAUAUAGGUGUUUAAGUCAAUAGAAUCAAAAGUGUUAUGAGACAUAAAGUGCCUCUUGUGUCAAUGCAUUUUACCUAUUUGUAUGACUUUUUGAGCAUCCAUGCAGAAUAAUGAGGGAGGUAGAAUCUAGGCAGAGGUGUAUACAAUAGUGCUGCCUAGAUAAUACCCCCCUGAAUAAUAUAGGUGUUUAAGUCAAUGGAAUCAAUAGUGUUAUGAGACAUAGAGUGCCUC
Molecule: long non-coding RNA, 313 nt
Organism: Xyrauchen texanus (razorback sucker)
Lineage: Eukaryota; Metazoa; Chordata; Actinopteri; Cypriniformes; Catostomidae
Exons: 3
Source: RefSeq, a predicted model, not a curated record